This is a long non-coding RNA of Macadamia integrifolia, 932 nucleotides long. RefSeq lists it as uncharacterized. Lineage: Eukaryota; Viridiplantae; Streptophyta; Magnoliopsida; Proteales; Proteaceae. The record is from RefSeq and is a predicted model, not a curated record. The transcript has 4 exons.
UUCUGAAAAAUGGGUUCUGAUGUUUUUUUAUUUUUUUGAAACAGAAAUGAGGUAAAACCUGUAUGGAAGCCCGGUUCAAUUUCUUGUUUUUUUGAAAUGAACCGGGUACUUAUGAGACUUUUGAAUCCUUUUUUUGGAGCAAGAAAUACUUGCUUUUCACUUUCAGAAUUGAUUCUGAGCAAAAGGCGCCGAAACAUAUGUAGCACUUAAGUUAUGAAGGGUAAAUAGGGAAAUUACCCCCAAAACAUAACAAAAGGUAUGUUUCAAGGGUAUUGUAAACCCUAACCCCACUUUGCACUUGGAGAACAUCUAGAGAAGAGAAGGAGAGAAGAAGACGCGAGAAGCAGAGCUGAAACGAAGAGCAUCACCAUCUUCGAUCUGCCAUCCAUCUGCGAGGUUUUUUGUUGUUCCAGCGAGUUUGAGCCUUCAAGGGGAAGCGAGGUAUUGAGAAACAUCCUUUUCAACUUCCUGAUUUCAUUGCUGCCACUGGGAUUGAAAAACUAAGACAGAAUCUUUUAUUUGGAAAUUUGUUUGGAGGGCUUCACCAACAACCGAUAAAUUGAGGGAAUAUACAUUAACCCUCUUUGUCCGAUGUUGUCUACAUUUUGGAACUUUGAAACAUCUCAUGUUGUAUUGUAAUUGCCUGUCACCUGUGGCAAUGUUCAGUUAUAGGAGUUCAGCCUGGUUUCUUCACUAAUAAUUAUGUCAAGAAGGUUGUUCAUCAUCUUUAGACUCUACUGCUCUGGACAUCAUUGAACAAUAGAAUUUUUUUUAAGUGCAGCUGCAGUUAUAAUGCAUCAGAUUUUUAUAGCACAAAAUCAUAUUGUUUAUAGAAAUAAAGGUACCCAUCCAUCCAUUGUUAUGCAUCUCAUAAACAAUGGCCUUUAGAAUGCAAAUUUUCAACUCUUUUGAUGCUUUCCAAAACUGCAAUU